This is a long non-coding RNA of Lolium perenne, 1432 nucleotides long. RefSeq lists it as uncharacterized. The record is from RefSeq and is a predicted model, not a curated record. NCBI's taxonomy places the organism in Eukaryota, Viridiplantae, Streptophyta, Magnoliopsida, Poales, Poaceae.
CCUACUUUUUCCAGAUCUGAGAUCCAUUUCUUGUUUGGUCACCUUCUUCCCCACAAUCCCCACCUUUUCUUCCACUUCCCUUCAAUUUCUUGACCACCGGUGCUUUCUCUUUGUCUCCGACGAUUUUCCAACUGAGUCGGUUUGGUCCAGCUCCCGUCGCUGCCGCUGUCUCAUCUUGUCUCCAUCGAUGCACACCACCACAGGCACCAGCUCAAUUCCAAUUGCCACCUACCGCCGAGAGGCAGCAAACUAGCAGCCGCAAGCUGUAACGCCACCUACUGCCUCGCUCAGUGCAGCAGCAGAGGAGCAUGCUCGCUCGUCCUUUACGCGCUAGCCAGAAGCAGCAAUCGCCAGCACGCCACGCCUCCCGCACCUUGCCGCUCGCCAGCAUUGCCCAUGAGCGGGAGCCAGCGGGCCGGCCGCCCUUUUUCCUGCUCGCCCCCGCGCGCGCUUGCUCGCCAGCAUGCCACAUUGCCACCUACCAUGCCACUCACAGCAAACGCAGCGUCGGCCCGCCAGCCGCUUGCUCCCGCUCACCCCAGCCGCCUCAGGUCCGCCGCCAAAAUCUCGCUCUGCUCUCGCCACGUUCCUCCACGCGCCAAGAAGGCCGGCCGCCUGGGCCGCUCCUUUUUAUUUUCCCGCAGGUCAACCACAACAGUAGUGCGCCGGCAACACUCCGUCUAUCCAGUUUUUGGUCCAGUGUUUUGGCAGCCGCCACUUGUUCGGCGAAUUGCCUGCACGACUUUUCGCCUCUGUUCUUUUCGGCGACCAUGUCCGUUUGUCCGACAAUCUAUUCGGCAUGACCGAUACCACUUCACCAAUGACGCACCACCGACAAGGUCUACUUCCUGGCGUCCGACGCAUCAACUACUUCGGCAAUGACACGAAGAUGAUGGCAUGUACCCGAUGAACCGGCUUCGACUACUACAGCAACUUCUGCUACUUCAAACCCGGGAACUUCAAGACGGUGGCGAUGCUGCUACUUCCGCGACAUUGAUGACUUCGACUACUUCCUCGACAAUCCGCAUUUGCUUCUUCCCGGAUAGGAUCACGAAGUGGUGAUGUGAGAUAUGACAAGUUUCCAGACAGUUCUUUUGCAGUCUUUCACAAGACGUUUAGCGAAGCGGAUUGUUCAUACUCACCUAGCCGCCGACGCAAACCCUGAGUCCGCUUCGGAGUACGGCCGAACUUCAUUACAGGCAACUGUUGGCCCGACUUUUGAUAGGUAUAAGAUCGACGACGUUAGCAAGGUUACCCUUCCGGCUUGGCCUAGGCAGGGUUAUGGACGUCAUCGUUAUCUUUAGGACUCUUAGUCCAAUUUGUACUCUUGUCCGUACUCGAACUCUUUAUUUCCUUUAUUUGUGACUUAGAUCUUUGUAUUGUAUAUUUGUAUUUUUGACUCAUUAGAGUCGUUGUUGUAAUAUAUAUAUGU